RNAcentral lists this ribosomal RNA (490 nucleotides) under uncultured bacterium. RNAcentral's name for it is "partial 16S ribosomal RNA". It matches the Rfam family "Bacterial small subunit ribosomal RNA", at positions 30 to 507 of the family's 1533-position model. The record is from RNAcentral.
AUUGAACGCUGGCGGCAGGCCUAACACAUGCAAGUCGAACGGUAACAGGAAGCAGCUUGCUGCUUUGCUGACGAGUGGCGGACGGGUGAGUCAUGUCUGGGAAACUGCCCGCUGGAGGGGGAUAACUACUGGAAACGGUAGAUAAUACCGCAUAACGUCGCAAGACCAAAGAGGGGGACCUUAGGGCCUCUUGCCAUCGGAUGCGCCCAGAUGGGAUUCGCUAGUAGGUGGGGUAACGGCUCACCUAGGCGACGAUCCCUAGCUGGUCUGAGAGGAUGACCGGCCACACGGGAACUGAGACACGGUCCAGACUCCUACGGGAGGCAGCAGUGGGGAAUAUUGCGCAAUGGGCGCAAGCCUGAUGCAGCCAUGCCGCGUGUAUGAAGAAGGCCUUCGGUUUGUAAAGUACUUUCAGCGGGGAGGAAGGGAGUAAAGUUAAUACCUUUGCUCAUUGACGUUACCCGCAGAAGAAGCACCGGCUAACUCCGUG